RNAcentral lists this ribosomal RNA (407 nucleotides) under Paenibacillus pabuli. RNAcentral's name for it is "bacterial SSU rRNA". It matches the Rfam family "Bacterial small subunit ribosomal RNA", at positions 389 to 789 of the family's 1533-position model. The record is from RNAcentral. Lineage: Bacteria; Bacillati; Bacillota; Bacilli; Caryophanales; Paenibacillaceae.
GAGCAAUGCCGCGUGAGUGAUGAAGGUUUUCGGAUCGUAAAGCUCUGUUGCCAGGGAAGAACGCUUGGGAGAGUAACUGCUCUCAAGGUGACGGUACCUGAGAAGAAAGCCCCGGCUAACUACGUGCCAGCAGCCGCGGUAAUACGUAGGGGGCAAGCGUUGUCCGGAAUUAUUGGGCGUAAAGCGCGCGCAGGCGGUCAUUUAAGUCUGGUGUUUAAUCCCGGGGCUCAACCCCGGAUCGCACUGGAAACUGGGUGACUUGAGUGCAGAAGAGGAGAGUGGAAUUCCACGUGUAGCGGUGAAAUGCGUAGAUAUGUGGAGGAACACCAGUGGCGAAGGCGACUCUCUGGGCUGUAACUGACGCUGAGGCGCGAAAGCGUGGGGAGCAAACAGGAUUAGAUACCCUG